RNAcentral lists this long non-coding RNA (928 nucleotides) under Brachypodium distachyon (stiff brome). Its description in RNAcentral is "long non-coding RNA (BDIS_LNC004165)". Lineage: Eukaryota; Viridiplantae; Streptophyta; Magnoliopsida; Poales; Poaceae. The record is from RNAcentral.
AUGUAAUUCUAUCUCUUAAUUACACUACUACAGAAAAAGUUAUCAGUAACGGUCAAAAACGUACAUCAGUAACGGGCAGGCCGCCCGACACUAAGUUGAUGUCACUGAUGUGUUUAACAUCAGUGACGGGCGGCCAGCCCGUUACUGAUGCUAUAUAGCAUUAGUGGCGGGCGUCCCUCUUGACCGACACUGAUAACAUUUUGAAGAUUUUUUUAAAAAAGCAGGCCUGUGGCCUGCAAAUUUCACAAAUCAUAGAUUGCCAGGCCUGCAUAUUUUCAUCAUCGCCGACCAGAACAUAUCGCAAAUCACAGAAUAAGCAUCCCAGAUCAUGGAUUACAGCAGGAAAAAUCGCAAAAAAAUCACGAAAAAAAGUCGAAGCUCUCCAUAGCCUGAUCCAGCCGCAUCGCCCUCCAUGGCAGUAUGGCGGCAGAGGAGAGCGCCUCCCUCCAUGGCAGCCGCUCCUUGGUCAAGGGCAGGGAACGCCAGAUCCACGCGUCGAGGUGGGGGGAGGCCGGAUCCGGCGAUGUAGAGGCCGGGGAACGCCGAAUCCGUCCCUGGAACAAACACGGCCAAGAAAUCAAUCACACACAGAGAGAGAGACUUACCGGAGGGAGAGAGGGUACCGGCGGCCAGAAUCGGUGGCAGUGCGGCGCGGGUGGCGGCGGGGGAGGCCGGAUCCAGCCGGGUCGGCGGCGCGUGGAGGCGGAUUUGACGAUGGCUGGCAUCGACGGCGCGAAGCAGGAAGGAGGGCGCGAAGGGCGAAGGGCGCGAAGGGCAGAGGACUCGGCCGGAGUCAGUGGAGUCGGCCGGAGAAGGGCUAGAUCCAGAGAAGGGAGGAGAGAGUUUGGGGGAGAGGAUUGAGUUCGGUUGAGACUUGAGAGAUAUCGUGGGAGAGAGGGAGACUGAGUGGCGGCGGAAGGGAGGAGAG